UUGUAAGCUAUUCUUUUUCCUCCCUGCUCAUAGGUAGCAUCUCCCCAAGGCUGUGUGUGGUUGCCUGUCCGACGCAGAAUCAGGCUGCUGCGCUCCGAAGUCUAGGCCCCUGCUGCCAUUUCAGCUGUGUUUGGAGUUGAGCAGGCUCCUCUUGCACUGUGAAUUCUACCAUGAACAGCAAGCAGCUGUGGCAAGGACUUGCUGCACCAAGGAUGGCCUGCACUAAUGGACAAGGAACAAGAAUCAUUAUGUUCCCAUAGUUAGCAGACUUGCACUUGGGUAAAAGCCUCAACCAUAACCUUGGAGGGAAAGCAGCUAAGGGAAGCCCAGAUGAGUCCUUAUCCUCCUAAUGAUAUCUUCUCCCUGGGAAUUGCCAGUCUGGAAGGACUAUACUUGCAUCACAAACAAAGAGGAAGAGGGAAGCUUAAGAAACACCAUCAACUCUGAGUUAAAGGGGAUUCCAAAAGUGAUACAGUGCUGUGGAUAAUGCACACUGAAUAAAGUACCCCAAAUGUAAUCUUGCA
RNAcentral lists this long non-coding RNA (524 nucleotides) under Dromaius novaehollandiae (emu). RNAcentral describes it as "lncRNA (ENSDNVG00000001456.1)". Lineage: Eukaryota; Metazoa; Chordata; Aves; Casuariiformes; Dromaiidae. The record is from RNAcentral.